RNAcentral lists this ribosomal RNA (450 nucleotides) under uncultured bacterium. RNAcentral's name for it is "bacterial SSU rRNA". It matches the Rfam family "Bacterial small subunit ribosomal RNA", at positions 33 to 524 of the family's 1533-position model. The record is from RNAcentral.
AAGACGCUGGCGGUAUGCCUAACACAUGCCAAGUCGAACGAAUCUUUCGGGAUUAGUGGCGGACGGGUGAGUAACGCGUGAGAAUCUGCCUUCAGGAUGGGGACAACAGUUGGAAACGACUGCUAAUACCCAAUAUGCCGCAAGGUGAAACUCUUUUGGCCUGAAGAGGAGCUCGCGUCCGAUUAGCUAGUUGGGGUGGUAAAAGCGCACCAAGGCAGCGAUCGGUAGCUGGUCUGAGAGGAUGAGCAGCCACACUGGGACUGAGACACGGCCCAGACUCCUACGGGAGGCAGCAGUGGGGAAUUUUCCGCAAUGGGCGAAAGCCUGACGGAGCAAUACCGCGUGAGGGAGGAAGGCUUUUGGGUUGUAAACCUCUUUUCUCAAGGAAGAAGAACUGACGGUACUUGAGGAAUCAGCAUCGGCUAACUCCGUGCCAGCAGCCGCGGUAAU